Molecule: ribosomal RNA, 492 nt
Filed under: uncultured Alphaproteobacteria bacterium
Lineage: Bacteria; Pseudomonadati; Pseudomonadota; Alphaproteobacteria
Description: bacterial SSU rRNA
Rfam family: Bacterial small subunit ribosomal RNA
Source: RNAcentral
UACAUCAGUGGCGGACGGGUGAGUAACACGUGGGUAUCUACACCAUAGAGGGGGACAACCAUUGGAAACGAUGGCUAAUACCGCAUAUUAUCGAGAGAUGAAAGAUUUAUCGCUAUGGAAUGAGCCCGCGUAUGAUUAGUUAGUUGGUAGGGUAAUGGCCUACCAAGACGAUGAUCAUUAGCUGUUCUGAGAGGAAGAUCAGCCACACCGGAACUGAGACACGGUCCGGACUCCUACGGGAGGCAGCAGUGGGGAAUAUUGGACAAUGGGGGCAACCCUGAUCCAGCGAUGCCGCGUGAGUGAUGAAGGCCUUCGGGUUGUAAAGCUCUUUAGCCGAUGAAGAUGAUGACUGUAAUCGGAGAAUAAGCCCCGGCAAACUUCGUGCCAGCAGCCGCGGUAAUACGAAGGGGGCUAGCGUUGUUCGGAAUGACUGGGCGUAAAGCGUACGUAGGCGGUUAUGUAAGUUAGGCGUGAAAGCCCUGGGCUUAACCU